This 482-nucleotide ribosomal RNA is filed under the name uncultured bacterium. RNAcentral describes it as "partial 16S ribosomal RNA". It matches the Rfam family "Bacterial small subunit ribosomal RNA", at positions 30 to 507 of the family's 1533-position model. The record is from RNAcentral.
AUUGAACGCUGGCGGCAUGCUUUACACAUGCAAGUCGAACGGUAACAGGCCGCAAGGUGCUGACGAGUGGCGAACGGGUGAGUAAUGCAUCGGAACGUGCCCAGUCGUGGGGGAUAACUACUCGAAAGAGUAGCGAAUACCGCAUACGAUCUAUGGAUGAAAGCGGGGGACCGUAAGGCCUCGCGCGAUUGGAGCGGCCGAUGUCAGAUUAGGUAGUUGGUGGGGUAAAGGCUCACCAAGCCAACGAUCUGUAGCUGGUCUGAGAGGACGACCAGCCACACUGGGACUGGGACACGGCCCAGACUCCUACGGGAGGCCGCAGUGGGGAAUUUUGGACAAUGGGCGCAAGCCUGAUCCAGCAAUGCCGCGUGCAGGAAGAAGGCCUUCGGGUUGUAAACUGCUUUUGUACGGAACGAAACGGCUCUGGUUAAUACCCGGGGCUAAUGACGGUACCGUAAGAAUAAGCACCGGCUAACUACGUG